GCAAACUUGGUCAUUUAGAGGAAGUAAAAGUCGUAACAAGGUCUCCGUUGGUGAACCAGCGGAGGGAUCAUUAUAGAGUUGCAAAACUCCAAACCCCUUGUGAACAUUACCUCUCUAGUUGCUUCGGCAGGCGAUUCCAGGGCGGAAUCGUAGCCUCUCUUCGCGGAGGGCGCCUGCCGGAGGACCAUUUUAUCAAACUCUUUUUGUAAUAUUAGUGAAUAUCUGAGCUUCUAUAACAAAUAAGUUAAAACUUUCAGCAACGGAUCUCUUGGUUCUGGCAUCGAUGAAGAACGCAGC
This 297-nucleotide unclassified non-coding RNA is filed under the name uncultured fungus. RNAcentral's name for it is "partial contains small subunit ribosomal RNA, internal transcribed spacer 1, and 5.8S ribosomal RNA". The stretch from base 1 to 73 matches the Rfam family "Eukaryotic small subunit ribosomal RNA", at positions 1759 to 1831 of the family's 1831-position model. The record is from RNAcentral. Lineage: Eukaryota; Fungi.